GACGAACGCUGGCGGCGUGCUUAACACAUGCAAGUCGAACGGAAAGGCCCUGCUCUUGUGGGGUGCUCGAGUGGCGAACGGGUGAGUAUCACGUGAGUAACCUGCCCUUGACUUUGGGAUAACUUCAGGAAACUGGGGCGAAUACCGGAUAUGAGCUCCUGCUGCAUGGUGGGGGUUGGAAAGUUUCGGCGGUUGGGGAUGGACUCGCGGCUUAUCAGCUUGUUGGUGGGGUAGUGGCUUACCAAGGCUUUGACGGGUAGCCGGCCUGAGAGGGUGACCGGCCACAAUGGGACUGAGAUGCGGCCCAGACUCCUACGGGAGGCAGCAGUGGGGAAUAUUGCACAAUGGGCGGAAGCCGUAUGCAGCGACGCCGCGUGCGGGAUGACGGCCUUCGGGUUGUAAACCGCUUUCGCCUGUGACGAAGCGUGAGUGACGGUAAUGGGUAAAGAAGCACCGGCUAACUACGUG
Molecule: ribosomal RNA, 468 nt
Filed under: uncultured bacterium
Lineage: Bacteria
Description: partial 16S ribosomal RNA
Rfam family: Bacterial small subunit ribosomal RNA
Source: RNAcentral